Camellia sinensis is the source of this 1616-nucleotide non-coding RNA. The record is from RefSeq and is a predicted model, not a curated record. NCBI's taxonomy places the organism in Eukaryota, Viridiplantae, Streptophyta, Magnoliopsida, Ericales, Theaceae.
UUUUGUGAAGGUAUGGUGAGUAAGAUUGCUGACUUUGAGUUUGUUAGGGAUAUCAAAGAGAAGCUUUGCUACAUAAGGUUAGUGAAUAUCAUCAUAGUUUGGUUUGCUUUUAUGGAAUUUGAGAUUGUUCUAUAUUUCUCUCUGUUUUGCAACACCUGAAGAAUUCAUGUUUAGUAGAUUUUUAUGACAAUUAGAUUCAAUGGUCAGUGUUUCAGUCUAAUUUGGUGAAGAUGUUAUGCUGUACUUAAUUUUCUUAAAUUGUUGUCCAUGAAGUUUUGAGAUUACUAGUUUCAAUUGUUGUCAAUUGUGGAUGCCAAAGACUUAAUUUUUAUGUGGUUUUCAUGCCUUUUUUAGGUUAUCCUUUUGAAAGCAAUCUGUGAUCUGUACUGUUGCUUUCCACUUGAUAGUGCAAAGGCACAAUUUAUUCAUGUCGUAGAUUGUGAGGAAAUUUCUGCUUAACUAUUCCAUUUUGUAUAGCUCAAUUUUUAUGUUGGGUCCAACAUUCUUGAAAUUUUAUUGCCGGGCCUAACAUUCCUAGUCAAACAUUCCUGGUCAAUUUGUAGAACAUUUCUACUUGAUUUAAUGCCAAGCCCAAAUUUCUUCAUUACUUUGAUAGUGGAAGCACUGGAAGCGGUGGCAACAAUAGAAGCAGGAAAGAGGAGAGCAUGUUCCGCCAGAAGAUUCCUUUGAAGUAGCUUGAAAAGUGAAGGAAACAUAUUGCUACACUAGUUCCUAUAUUGUCAAGGAGUUCAAUAAGUAUGACAGAGAACUAGCUAAAUACAUCAAGCAAUAUAAAGGAAUCAAACCAAGGACGGGCACCAUACUCUUGUGAUAUCGGCUAUGAACAAUUUCUUGGGCCUGAGGAUGAAUGUGUACUAAUAUGGUUCUCGGGGAAAGAGGAGAAACACCUCAAACUAAGUCACAUGUCUAAAAUCAUUUCAGGGCAGCGCACUGUAAGUUUCUUGCUGUGAUGACAAUAUCGUUGUAUAACUACUCUGUAUACACUUUAAAGCUUAUGAAGGAAUAGUAAAUAUUCAUUGAUGUUGAAGGCUACAGUGGGGCUGAGUAGAGUGUUAGAUUGCUGAAGUUUUACAUAAUCCUCAUCUUAUUGCAGCAUCCAUGAGAAAUUAAUGGCAUACCUAUUUUUCCACCGUUCUGCCCUAACUAACGUAAUUUGGUACCCUUGAGUUCUUUUACUCCAUGCAGAAUCUGUUUGUUUAUUGCACCAUUGUAAUUGAUAAUGGUUUUUGUGCGCUUGGUUAAGUUGUGAUAAUGUAAUAAUCACAGUUCUACAGUGCUAUGCUGAGAAGCAUGGACACUUCUCUGGUUAAGUUCUAAAUGCAAUGUUGUACAUUGAAACUUCUUUCUAAUUGCCUCAAUAAUUUUCGUGUGUAUUUUAAUCAAAUCAGGGGCAUGACACUGAAACUAAUAAAAGUGAUAAGCCUUUUGAUCCAUUUGUUUUUUCUGUUUUAAAAAAAUGGUACACCCAGUUUAGUUCCCAUUGGAUGGAAGUCUCGAAUAAUUUUGUUUAUCUAGUGUUCUCACAUUAUAUUUAACUCUUUGCAUCAACUUGAUGCUUUUUUAAUAAAGUUUUCUUAUUUAUCAAAAAAAAAAAA